UUUUAUAAAUUUCCUGUUUACCAAACUUUGAAAUUUUCGAAAAACUAAGGAUUUUUCUUAUUCCAGCAUAGAUUACCUUAGCCGUAUUUGGCACAACUUUUUGGAAUUUGGAUCUCAAUGCUCUUCAACUUUGUACUUGUUUGGCUUUAUAAAUAUUUUGAUAUGAGCGUCACUGAUGAGUCUUAUGUAGACGAAACGCGCGUCUGGAGUACUAAAUUAUAAUCCUGGUACCUUUGAUAACUAUUUACACCACUGGGUCGAUGCCACUGCUGGUGGACGUUUCGUCUCCGAGGGUAUCACCAGCCCAGUAGUCAACUCUUCGGUGUUGACAUGAAUAUCAAUAAUGUGGUCAUUUUUAUAAAUUUCCUGUUUACCAAACUUUGAAAUUUUCGAAAAACUAAGGAUUUUCUUAUUCCAGGCAUAGAUUACCUUUAGCGUAUUUGGCACAACUUUUUGGAAUUUUGGAUCCUCAAUGCUCUUCAACUUUGUACUUCUUUGGCUUUAUAAAUAUUUUGAUAUGAGCGUCACUGAUGAGUCUUAUGUAGACG
RNAcentral lists this long non-coding RNA (548 nucleotides) under Mytilus galloprovincialis (Mediterranean mussel). The record is from RNAcentral. Lineage: Eukaryota; Metazoa; Mollusca; Bivalvia; Mytilida; Mytilidae.